CCCGCCAAAGAAUUACGAGCACGAGCUUAAAACCUAAAAGACUUGGCGGCGCUUAAGAUCCUCCUAGAGGAGCCUGUUCUUUAACCGAUAGUCCCCGUUAAACCUUACCCUCUCUUGCCCUUUCCGCCUAUAUACCGCCGUCGUCAGCUUACCCUGUGAAGGGACAGUAGUUAGCAAGACUAGCAAGACUUAAAACGUCAGGUCGAGGUGUAGCAUAUGAGAGGGGCAGCAAUGGGCUACAUUUUCUACAAUAGAACACACGAAAAACGUACUUAAAAAUACAAUAGAAGGAGGAUUUAGCAGUAAGCAGGGAACAGAGUGCCCCACUGAAGCAGGCUCUAAAGCGCGUACACACCGCCC
RNAcentral lists this ribosomal RNA (360 nucleotides) under Barryichthys hutchinsi. Its description in RNAcentral is "partial small subunit ribosomal RNA". It matches the Rfam family "Bacterial small subunit ribosomal RNA", at positions 868 to 1395 of the family's 1533-position model. The record is from RNAcentral. Lineage: Eukaryota; Metazoa; Chordata; Actinopteri; Blenniiformes; Gobiesocidae.